UGACCCUCCUCAGCCCAAGCGACUCGUCGCCAUCGACCCCUCCCCUCGGCGCGCAGCCCGCUUUCCCCCGCCUCCCAAACCCACGUGACAGCCUCUCUCCCACCUGACUGGUUCCUCCCUUUCCCUCCGGGCCGGACCCGGCCGUCGCAGCUGCCCGACUCCAAAAUGGCAGCCGCGUACAGCGCGCACCGGAGCGGCCGGACCUCCCUGACUCCCAGGCCGACCCCCCGGCGCUCCCAGCCUCCGUCUUUCGGCCUUCACCUAGACGCUUCCGGAUUGGCCGCUAAGAAUCCCGCCUCUCCCAAGCCCCUCCUGCUAUUGGUCACGGUAGGCUGCCCUUCAGAGAGGCGUGCCCUCGCCCCCCCCCCCCGCCCCGGGAGGUAUUUUCCAUUCGAGUGGGGGUUGAGGAGCGGGGGGAGGGGAAGAGGGGGAAGGGGGAGAGGCAGCCGGGGAAGGGGGUGGAGGCCUGGCGGGGGCAUCCGGCGGAGCUGGGGUCCCCGGGCCCCGUGCGGAGGAAACGGGACUGAGCUCGCUCGGGCAGUCAGAGGGGACGGGACGGGGCCGGCGGGCGGGCGCCCUCUCUGUGGCUGCGCCGUCCGGGCCCGUCCUGCCUGGCCGCAGGUGCCCCUGGAUGAGGCCGCCCCGCGCGCCCCGACCGGGAGCUGCUGCCACUACUGGACUUGACAAAAGAAAAACAAACACACACUUGCUACCUUUGGGACUUCUGGUUCAAAGCUUCUCCACUUCCUCUUCUCCAGCUGAACCCUAGAGACAACAUCAUCUCUUGCUCUUGUUCAUUCUAGAACAGCAUUGUCCAAUAGAAGUUUAACGCAAGUCAUGAAUGAGAGUUACAUAUGUAAUUUAGCAUUUUCUAGUAACCACAUUUAAGAAAAAUAAAAAGGUGAAAUUAAUUUUAAUGAUAUAUUUUAUUUAAUGCAGUAUGAUGGUAGGUUAUUGUGUCAACUCGGCCAGGUAAUUGUGCCCAGUUGUUUGUCAAGCAAACACUGGGCUAACUGCAAUACAAGGGCAUUUAUGGACUUUAGUCACCAUUGACUUCACUGCAGUGGUAAAUCAUAGAUAGCUGGUUAUAAUUACAUCAAUCAGGGAGAUUGCCAUCAGCAGUGAGUGACGCUUAACCCAAUCAGUUGAUUGUCUUAAAAGGGGACGUGAUUCAAGUAUUGAGAGAGAAUUUCCAAGCUUGUCUCCCAGAACUCGUCAAGAACUUCCAUUGGACUUUCACUGCAGUCCCUGGUUGUGACCUGCCUGCAGAACCUGGACUUGUACAUCCCCACGGCUGCAUGAGAGACUCUUAUAGAAUCGUAUACUAUUAACAGAUACCAUUUGUUGAUUCUGUUUCAAUAGAGAACCCUGACUAAUACACCUAGUAUCCAAAACAAUAUCACUUCAACAUGUAAUCAAUAGAAAAUUUAUUGCUAUCAUUUAUAUUCUUUUUUCUCAUACUCUUUUUUGAAAAUCAGUGCAUAUUUUAUACUCACAGUACUUCUCAAUGCAGCUGCCACAUUAAAAUGCUUAACCUCCAUGUGUGACUGAGUGGACCGCAUGGCUCAAGAAAUGAGAAUAAAACGUGGUGGGACAGGAGGGAACUUCUGGGAAGAUGGAGGAUUGGAGAGACACAGGAUUCACUUCUUUCUCAGAAAAAUAACUAAAGGACAGAAAGAGAUGGCAUGAAAAAAAUGUUUUAGGGUUUAAAGCACCAGGGGAAGGCUGAAUACCACACAGAAGAGAAAGGAAUAAAGGAAAAGAACCUACAGGAAAACUCUGUGAGUAGAAGCUACACCUGCAGCUGCCAACGCCCAUCCCCUAUCCUCAGAACAGACAGCUUUGAAUUCUUGGACCUCUGGCCAGCAGCUACAGAUGGAGGAGCAUGCAUGGGGUCUGCCUCCUCAGGAAAAGGGAGAGAGAGGGACGCACCCUAAGGUUUAUUCAGCUUUUGGCCAACAAAUCUGGUCUGCUGUGUCCAGUGAGCCAUGGGGACAAAAGAGAUCCAACUCUCACAAACACCCUUCCUAUUGACCAGGACUGGUUGUAGAGGAUACAUAGGGGAGUAGGAUUAUUUCUUACCCAGGAAAAGGGAGGGAGCUGCCAGCAAAGGCUGGAGAACAGUCUCUGAGAAAGCUUGAUUUGUGAGGCUCUGAAUAGCCUUGCAGCAGGAUCCUCUGUCACGUUGUUACAGUCAGUGUUGAAGCAAAUAUAUUCUGACCAGGGUUUGAAGUGAGAGGUCUGCUGAAGAGUGCCAUCUGCUUUCAGACCAAGGAGGUUCAUGUGAGGAAAUUAAAAGUAAACCAAGGAAGCAGACCUGGCCCAAUGGAUAGAGCAUCUGCCUACUACGUGGGAGGUCCACAGUUCAAACCCCAGGCCUCCUUGACCCGUGUGCAGCUGGCCCACGCACAGUGCUGAUGUGCGCAAGGAGUGCCCUGCCAUGCAGGGAUGUCCCCCGCGUAGGGGAGCCCCACGUGCAAGGAGUGCGCCCCGUAGGGAGAGCUGCCCAGCAUGAAAGAGAGUGCAGCCUGCCCGGGAAUGGUGCCGCACACACGGAGAGCUGACACAGCAAGAUGACGCAACAGAAAGAGACACAGAUUCCCGUGUUGCUGACAACAUCAGAAGUGGAGAAAGAAGACACAGAGAACAGACAACUGGGGCGGGGGGGAUGGGGAGAGAAAUAAAUAAAUAAAUCUUUUAAAAAAUAAAUAAAAAUUUAUUUUAAAAAAGCAACAGCAUGGUAUUGGCAUAAAUAUAGACUUAUUGAUCAAUGGAAUAGAAUUGAGAGGCUGGAAAUAAACCCUGACUUCUAUGACUAACUGGUUUUUGACAAACCUACCAAUUCCACAUUACUGAGAUAUAAUAGUCUCUUCAAAAAAUGGUGCUGGGAGAACCGGAUAUCCAUAACCAAAAGAAUGAGAGACCCCUAUCUCACUCCCUAUACUAGAAUUAACUCAAAAUGGAUCAAAGACCUAAAUAUAAAAGCCAAGACUAUAAAACUCCUAGAAGAAAAUGUAGGGAAAUACCUUAAAGACCUUGUGGUAGGUGAUGAUUUCUUGGAUCUUACACCCAAAGCAUGAACAACAAAAUAAAAAAUAGAUAAAUGGGACCUUCUCAAAAUUAAACAGUUUUGCAUCUCAAAGACUUUCUCAAAAGAAUGAAAAGAACAGCCAACUCAAUGGGAGAAAAUAUUUGGAAAUAUAUCUGAUAAGGGUUUAAUAUCCAUGAUACAUAAAGAGAAGCCACAAUUGAACAAUAAAAAGACGAACAAUCCAAUUAAAACAUGGGCAAAAGACUUGAAUGGACAUAUGUCCAAAGAGGAAAUACAAACGACAAAAAAACACAUGAAAAAAUGUUCAACAUCACUAGUGAUUAGGGAAAUGCAAAUAAAAACUACAGUGAGAUAUCAUUACACACCAUGAGAAUGGCCAUUAACAAAACAGUAAACUACAUGUGUUAGGAUGUGGAGGGAUAGGAAUGCUGGGGAAGACUGUUGGGCAGUUCCUAAGACAUUAAAUAUAGAUUUACCACAUUACCCAGCAAUACCAUUACUAGGUAUAUACCCAAAAGAAAUAAGAGCAGUGACACAAAAUGUCAUCUGCCCACCAAUGUAUAUAGUGGUGUUAUUCACAAUUGCCAAAAGAUAGAACAACCCAGGUGUCCAUCAACCAAUGAAUGGAUAAACAAACAGUGGUAUAUACAUACGAUGGACUGUUAUAAACAGCUGUUAAGAAGAAAGGAAGUCGUGAAGUAUAUGACAACAUGGAUGAAUGUGGAGGACACUAUGUUGAGUAAAGCAAACCAGACACAAAAGGACAGAUACUGUAUGAUUGCUCCUAUUAUGAACUAAAUAUAUUAUGUAAACUCAAGAAGUUAAUAACGAGAAUAUAGGUCACCAGAAAAUAGAACAAGGUUAGAGAAUGGAAAGCUGAGAGUUAACCUGUGCAGAACUGCUUCAAUUAAAAAAAAAAAAAAGUUCAUAAAUCUUUGGAAAUGAAUAGAAUAGUAAAAGCACAUCGCAGAGUUUGUAACUAGCAGUGCUAAUGUAUAGGUAUGACAGCGGUUGAAAUGCAAAGUCUAAGGGUCUAUAUACUAAUAGAAGGAAAAUUAAAUAAUGUAACAUGGGACUGUAUUAUAUUACCGAAACCUCAUGUGAAAUGUGAAUAUGGGUAAUAUUGCAUAUAUAAGACUGUUUUUCUUUGAAACUGAACAAACGUGCAUUAAUGUUACAAGAUGUUAAUAUCAGGCAAAAUAUGGACAGUAGUGCAUAGUAAUAUAUUAAUAAUUUUCUAUUCGGAGUUUAAAAAAAUGGAAAAUAUACUAAGUGAAAGAAACUACACAAAAGGUACUACAUAUUAUUUGGCUCCAUCUAUAAAAAAUAUUAAUACAAAUAAAUUAGAAAGACAGAAAUAGAAAGACAGCCAUGUACAACAGGGGAAGCACAGAGAAUUGAGAGAUGAUUAUUAACGGGUAUAGCUUUGUUUUUUAUUAUUAUUAUUAUUGGAAUAAUGAAAAUGUUCUAAUAAUGAUUGAAGUGAUGAAUGUACAACUCUGUGAUUAUACCAAAUACUACUGAUUGUACAAUUUGGAUAAAUUGUAUGCUUUAUUCAUAUGUAUCAAUAAAUUGACCUUUUAAGAAGAA
This is a long non-coding RNA of Dasypus novemcinctus (nine-banded armadillo), 4642 nucleotides long. The record is from Ensembl. NCBI's taxonomy places the organism in Eukaryota, Metazoa, Chordata, Mammalia, Cingulata, Dasypodidae.